RNAcentral lists this ribosomal RNA (402 nucleotides) under uncultured bacterium. RNAcentral describes it as "bacterial SSU rRNA". It matches the Rfam family "Bacterial small subunit ribosomal RNA", at positions 356 to 773 of the family's 1533-position model. The record is from RNAcentral.
GGGGAAUAUUGGGCAAUGGGGGAAACCCUGACCCAGCAACGCCGCGUGAAGGAAGAAGGUUUUCGGAUUGUAAACUUCUGUUCUUGGGGAAGAGAAGAAGACGGUACCCAAGGAGGAAGCCCCGGCUAACUACGUGCCAGCAGCCGCGGUAAUACGUAGGGGGCAAGCGUUGUCCGGAAUGAUUGGGCGUAAAGGGCGCGUAGGCGGCUGUUUAAGUCUGUAGUGGAAGUCCAGCUUUCAAGGUUGGAAGUGCUAUGGAAACUGAGCAGCUUGAGUGCAGGAGAGGUUAUCGGAAUUCCCGGUGUAGCGGUGAAAUGCGUAGAGAUCGGGAGGAACACCAGUGGCGAAGGCGGGUAACUGGACUGCAACUGACGCUGAGGCGCGAAGGUGUGGGGAGCAAAC